GAUUGAACGCUGGCGGUAUGCUUAACACAUGCAAGUCGAACGGAAACGAUACUAGCUUGCUAGUAGGCGUCGAGUGGCGGACGGGUGAGUAACGCGUAGGAAUCUGCCUGAUAGUGGGGGAUAGCCCGAAGAAAUUCGGAUUAAUACCGCAUAAUCUAUUCGUAGUAAAGUGGGGGACUUUCGAGCCUCACGCUAUCAGAUGAGCCUGCGUAAGAUUAGCUUGUUGGUAGGGUAAAAGCCUACCAAGGCGACGAUCUUUAGCUGGUCUGAGAGGAUGAUCAGCCACAUCGGGACUGAGACACGGCCCGAACUCCUACGGGAGGCAGCAGUGGGGAAUAUUGGACAAUGGGGGCAACCCUGAUCCAGCAAUACCGCGUGUGUGAAGAAGGCCUGAGGGUUGUAAGGCACUUUCAAUUGUGAAGAAAAGUUAACGGUUAAUAACCGUUAGCCUUGACGUUAACUUUAGAAGAAGCACCGGCUAACUCCGUGCCAGCAGCCGCGGUAAUACGGAGGGUGCAAGCGUUAAUCGGAAUUACUGGGCGUAAAGCGUGCGUAGGCGGUUUAUUAAGUCAGAUGUGAAAGCCCCGGGCUUAACCUGGGAACUGCAUUUGAAACUGGUCAACUAGAGUAUGGUAGAGGAAAGUGGAAUUUCUGGUGUAGCGGUGAAAUGCGUAGAUAUCAGAAGGAACAUCAAUGGCGAAGGCAGCUUUCUGGACCAAUACUGACGCUGAGGUACGAAAGCGUGGGUAGCAAACAGGAUUAGAUACCCUGGUAGUCCACGCCGUAAACGAUGAUAACUAGCCGUUGGGGGGAUUUACCCUUUAGUGGCGAAGCUAACGCGUUAAGUUAUCCGCCUGGGGAGUACGGCCGCAAGGUUAAAACUCAAAGGAAUUGACGGGGACCCGCACAAGCGGUGGAGCAUGUGGUUUAAUUCGAUGCAACGCGAAGAACCUUACCUGGUCUUGACAUCCUGCGAACUUUCUAGAAAUAGAUUGGUGCCUUCGGGAACGCAGUGACAGGUGCUGCAUGGCUGUCGUCAGCUCGUGUCGUGAGAUGUUGGGUUAAGUCCCGUAACGAGCGCAACCCCUAUCCUUAUUUGCCAGCACAUCAUGGUGGGAACUAUAAGGAGACUGCCGGUGAUAAACCGGAGGAAGGCGGGGACGACGUCAAGUCAUCAUGGCCCUUACGACCAGGGCUACACACGUGCUACAAUGGGAAGGACAAAGAGCCGCGAAGCCGCGAGGUGUAGCUAAUCUCAUAAACCUUUUCGUAGUCCGGAUUGGAGUCUGCAACUCGACUCCAUGAAGUCGGAAUCGCUAGUAAUCGUAGAUCAGAAUGCUACGGUGAAUACGUUCCCGGGUCUUGUACUCACCGCCCGUCAA
RNAcentral lists this ribosomal RNA (1382 nucleotides) under uncultured bacterium. Its description in RNAcentral is "bacterial SSU rRNA". It matches the Rfam family "Bacterial small subunit ribosomal RNA", at positions 27 to 1400 of the family's 1533-position model. The record is from RNAcentral.